UUGAACGCUGGCGGUAUGCUUUACACAUGCAAGUCGAACGGAUUAAGAAGCUUGCUUCUUAGUUAGUGGCGAACGGGUGAGUAAUAUAUCGGAACAUAUCCGGAAGUGGGGGAUAACGUAGCGAAAGUUACGCUAAUACCGCAUAUGCCCUGAGGGGGGAAAGGGGGGGAUCGCAAGACCUCUCGCUUUCGGAGUGGCCGAUAUCGGAUUAGCUAGUAGGUGAGGUAAAGGCUCACCUAGGCGACGAUCCGUAGCUGGUCUGAGAGGACGACCAGCCACACUGGAACUGAGACACGGUCCAGACUCCUACGGGAGGCAGCAGUGGGGAAUUUUGGACAAUGGGCGCAAGCCUGAUCCAGCCAUGCCGCGUGAGUGAAGAAGGCCUUCGGGUUGUAAAGCUCUUUCAGCCGGAAAGAAAUCGCACUUGCUAAUACUAAGUGUGGAUGACGGUACCGGAAGAAGAAGCACCGGCUAACUACGUGCCAGCAGCCGCGGUAAUACGUAGGGUGCGAGCGUUAAUCGGAAUUACUGGGCGUAAAGCGUGCGCAGGCGGUUUUUUAAGACAGACGUGAAAUCCCCGGGCUUAACCUGGGAACUGCGUUUGUGACUGGAAGGCUAGAGUAUGGCAGAGGGGGGUAGAAUUCCACGUGUAGCAGUGAAAUGCGUAGAUAUGUGGAGGAAUACCGAUGGCGAAGGCAGCCCCCUGGGUCAAUACUGACGCUCAUGCACGAAAGCGUGGGGAGCAAACAGGAUUAGAUACCCUGGUAGUCCACGCCCUAAACGAUGUCAACUAGGUGUUGGGGGAGGAGACUUCCUUAGUACCGCAGCUAACGCGUGAAGUGACCC
RNAcentral lists this ribosomal RNA (846 nucleotides) under uncultured bacterium. RNAcentral describes it as "bacterial SSU rRNA". It matches the Rfam family "Bacterial small subunit ribosomal RNA", at positions 29 to 870 of the family's 1533-position model. The record is from RNAcentral.